RNAcentral lists this ribosomal RNA (292 nucleotides) under uncultured prokaryote. RNAcentral's name for it is "partial 16S ribosomal RNA". It matches the Rfam family "Bacterial small subunit ribosomal RNA", at positions 505 to 796 of the family's 1533-position model. The record is from RNAcentral.
GUGCCAGCAGCCGCGGUAAUACGGAGGAUCCGAGCGUUAUCCGGAUUUAUUGGGUUUAAAGGGUGCGUAGGCGGCACAUUAAGUCAGUGGUGAAAUCUUCAUGCUUAACAUGGGAACUGCCAUUGAUACUGAUGAGCUUGAGUACAGAUGAAGUGGGCGGAAUAUGACAUGUAGCGGUGAAAUGCGUAGAUAUGUCAUAGAACACCGAUCGCGAAGGCAGCUCACUAAGCUGAUACUGACGCUGAUGCACGAAAGCGUGGGGAUCAAACAGGAUUAGAUACCCUGGUAGUCC